Cricetulus griseus (Chinese hamster) is the source of this 3094-nucleotide non-coding RNA. NCBI's taxonomy places the organism in Eukaryota, Metazoa, Chordata, Mammalia, Rodentia, Cricetidae. The record is from RefSeq and is a predicted model, not a curated record.
UGGAGGCUGUCCUGGAACUAGCUCUUGUAGACCAGGCUGGGCUCGAACUCACAGAGAUCUGCCUGCCUCUGCCUCCCGAGCUCUGGGAUUAAAGGCGUGAGCCACCACCGCCUGGCUCAUCUCCACCUUCUUAUUUACAAUGGGGGCUGAAUUUCCCCUUUAGAACCACUGCAAAUCCAUUUUUGAAGCAUGAAAGUGCAUCAGGAUGAAGUUGGCAAGACUUUUUAACAGCUUGUCUUUCUCACUCUGCCACUUCCCCCAACCCCAAAGAAGAAAAUAUGUAUUUACAUCAUUUCAACAAACAACUGUUACUAUGAUCCAAGUGUCUUUUAAAAUAGUGACUGGCAUUUCUGGACGGGCUCCUUGAUAAGCACACUGGACUAACCUAGCCCAAGAGUCGGUUUGCUCUAAAUCUGGGCAGGGUCAAUACAGCUUUCAUUUAGCUACUCCAAAAAGGGUCUUAAACAUUUCAUUUUGUUUACAGCGGCCAGAGGGCUGCUGGACUUAUAGUUCAUUAGGCUGGACUAUGUGAUACUACCAUUUCUAUGUUCAGAAAUAAUCAAGCAUUAGGAAUGUCCUGUGGUUUAGCCUCAUAACUACCCAGUAAAUAUUGAUUAGAAUUGAGUUGAAGGAGCUGGACAUAGUGACUAACACCUGUCAUUCUAGCACUUAGGAGGCUCAGGCAGGAGGAUUGUUGCAAAUCCAAGGCCUCUCUGGGCCAAAUCAUAAACACCUGACCAGCCAGGGCUACCUAGCAACACCCUGUCUCACACCCCAACAAAACAACAACAACAACAACAAUAAUAAAAACUCCCAACCCAAGGCAGUCAAUAGAUUUUUGUUCGAUAGAAUAUUUGAAAAGGCGUAAAGGAAAGGUAGAAAAACUUAUUAAACAAACACAUUACAUCCAACCAAUUCUCAACUAUCAUGGGAAGUUCCAAGAAGAAGAUAAAUAGGGUAGCCAAGCAGGCUCUGGUCUUCUACCUCAGCAGUGACUGUGCUGCGUGUUCAGGUUUUAACCUUCUAUAAGGAACAUAGUCACAAUGACACUGAUAACAGCCUGUGUUUACCUGGUACCUAGUAUGUGCCAGAGUUGGUGCUAAAGGCUUUAGACACCUCAAAUUUAAUCCCCACCACAAACCUACAAGGAUUAUUUCAGUCUUACAGAUGAGAAGGCUAAAAUGAAAAUUUUACCAAGGAAACAGUUUCUUAGAGACACAAUUAAAUGGAAAAAACAAAGCAACAAUCUGGACAACACCUGCACUGUCGCUCGAGUAAUAAAAUUCUUUUAUAAGGAUAUGCUUGUAAUGUCCUUCAGUUUUGAGCGAAGAUUCAUUCAAAUAGAACCACCUGGAGAAUUUCUUUCUACUCAGUCUUUGGACCGUGUGGUUUCUUUGCUCCUCAAAAUGGCUUUUAUGCCAGUGUUCCUGACAUGGCCUCAAACCGAGAAUCUCAGGCUUUCCUCCGAAGGCAUCAGGAUGCAUUAGGACAAGAUCCCCAGGUGGCUCUCGUGUACGUUAGCGUUGGGAAGUGUCAUCUUAUGUUUAGUGUGUCUGAAUUUUAAACAGACUCUGAAAUAAUACUGGUGUUAGUGAUCAGUACUAAGGCCACACAUUAUAAAAUGUCCCAGGACUUGAUCCCCAAAUGCAAUCCACUGAAAUCUUAAGUGCAAACAGUUUGUGAAGUCAGGGGUCUUGGGGAGUCUAGACAUUACAGUGUGUGUAUGUGUGUGUUCAGAGCUCCGUGUCCUGAGCUUGGGCCUGAUCCAUGAAUAUAGCUGAGCAUGCUGGCAGAACUUCACCUUCUUCAUCUUCAAUCCCCCUGUGGGGAUGGACAAGAAUGUCCCCUUUCAUCGAAGGGGAGACCCAGAAUGGCCCACAUCGGAUAUGAAAUUCAUUGAAGCCAAAACUGUAGCUAAAAAGAUGUAUUCGAACUUGGCAGUGAUUCUGCAUUUCCAUCCACUACUCUAAAAAGUUGUCUCAGAGUCAGGGAAGACAGAUCAACUUUGGUCAAGGGCCCACUGCGAAAGCAUGAGGACCUGAGUUUGGAUCUCCAGCAAAUGUGGAAAACUCUCAGUGUGGUGGUGUGUGUCUGUCAUCUCACUGCCGGGAAGGCAGAGUCAGGAGACUCCCUGGGGCUUAUUGGCCAAUCAGUCAGUCUAGCCAAAUGGGUAAGCUCCAGGUCCAGAGAGAGACAGUGUUUCAGAAAAGGGGUUGAGUGAUUGAGGAAACAAUUGAUGCCAAUGUAUUUCCUCCACUCAGAUAGGUGCAUACACACACACAUACACACACACACACACACACACACACACACACACACACACACAAACCAAAACAAAGUUAACACUUCAGUAAGUGAUGCUGUGUCGCUGCCAGAUCCCCAGUGAACACGUGCUCCAAGGGUAAAGGGUCAGAUGGUAAAAGAAGUUCUACUCAUGGAAACUUGGGUUACCCAGAAAGGGCAGGAAUCUCACUAUCUGGGAAAUUUCCAAUAACUUUCCUCUGAAGAGUGAAAGUAUGUAAAUUAGGAGGCAGUUGGGAGGCGCAUAGGGCUAAGAAAAUAGCUGCCACAAGGUGGAGCAAAGUCACAGAGAGUUGAUGUGAGAAACUUCAGGUGGCCUAUCCAACCUGGGUCAGCUGUCUUUCUAGGUUCUAAACCCUACCCAUUCACCACAUUCAAAUUUGGGAAUAAAUUUGGUUCUCAAACACGAGGAAGAUAAUGACACUGAAUGACCAGAUGAGAAACAAGAUCCAUCGAUAUAAAACCACAAUAGGAACAGCUCUUCCUGCUGGAUGUGAGCCUAUCUCCUUCCCAGGAGCAAGGGAUUACAGGCCCACAGGAAACAGAGUAGGCCAUGGAAAAGAAGACUCAGUCUGGAUGGAGGAAGAUGCGCACUGGAGUUAUGUCCUUGUCACACUUUAGUUACUGAACCUUUUGUCUCCAGAUUCUCAUUUGUCAUAUGAGGGUAGUUAGUGCCCAACUUGUGGGGUUCUUGUGAGAAUGUUUGCAAAUUGCUCACCUUAGAAAGUAAUGCUCAAAUGUGGGACUGUCAAGCUGUGAACACUCAAUGUAGUAUAUUGACUGUUUGGUUGGA